This 586-nucleotide ribosomal RNA is filed under the name Morchella americana. RNAcentral's name for it is "eukaryotic LSU rRNA". It matches the Rfam family "Eukaryotic large subunit ribosomal RNA", at positions 51 to 649 of the family's 3401-position model. The record is from RNAcentral. Lineage: Eukaryota; Fungi; Ascomycota; Pezizomycetes; Pezizales; Morchellaceae.
CGGAGGAAAAGAAACCAACAGGGAUUGCCUCAGUAACGGCGAGUGAAGCGGCAAAAGCUCAAAUUUUAAAGCUGGCACCUCCGGUGUCCGCGUUGUAAUUUUGUGAGGCAUCUCCGGGUGGGGCGCCGGCCUAAGUUCCUUGGAACAGGACGUCAUAGAGGGUGAGAAUCCCGUGCUUGGCUGGCUGUCCCCGUCCAUGUGAGGUGUCUUCGACGAGUCGAGUUGUUUGGGAAUGCAGCUCAAAAUGGGUGGUAAAUUUCAUCUAAAGCUAAAUAUUGGUGGGAGACCGAUAGCGCACAAGUAGAGUGAUCGAAAGAUGAAAAGCACUUUGAAAAUAGAGUUAAAAAGUACGUGAAAUUGUUGAAAGGGAAGCGCUUGAGACCAGACUUCGGUGGGGAGUGAUCAGCCGUCCUUCUGGGCGGUGCACUUGCCCCCCUCCGGGCCAGCAUCGGUUGGGACGGCGGGAUAAAGGUCCCGGGAAUGUGGCUCCUCUCGGGGAGUGUUAUAGCCCGGGUGAAUGCCGCCAGCCCCGACCGAGGACCGCGCCUUCGGGCUAGGAUGCUUGGCAUAAUGGUCUUCAGCGACC